GAUUUAUUCAACUUCCUGGUGAUUCUACACUACUUUAUGUAUCCAAAUGAAGGUUCUAACAUCGCGAUUCAUCCUGGUUUGAUUAGAAUGACGGAAAAGUUGUCAUAUUCCCAAACUGGAAAACUGGGAUCACCUUAUUUGAAAGUGGAAUAACUUCUUCAUCCUAACUCCUAUGAGAUUUAUUCAACAUUCUGGUGAUUCUCAACUACUUUAUGUAUCCAAAUUAAGUUUUGUACAUCGAGAUUCAUCCUGGUUUGAUUAGAAUGUCAAAGAAGUUGUCUUAUUCCCAAACAGGCAAACUGAGAUCACCUUAUUUGAAAGUGGGAUAGCUUCUUCAUCCAAACUCCUAUGAGAUUUAUUCAACUUCGUGGUAAUUGUCCACUACUUUAUGUAUCUAAAUGAAGGUUCUUACAUCAAGAUUCAUUCUGGUUUGAUUAGGAUGACUAAGAAGUAUUCUCAUUCCCAAACAGGAAAACUGGGAUCACCUUAUUUGAAAGUGGGAUAACUUCUUUAUCCUAACUCCUAUGAGAUUUAUUCAACUUCCUGGUGAUUCUCCACUCCUUUAUGUAUCCAAAUGAAGGUUCUUACAUCGCGAUUCAUCCUGGUUUGAUUAGAAUGACGAAGAAGUAUUCAUAUUCCCAAACAGGGAAACUAGGAUCACCUUAUUUGAAAGUGGGAUAACUUCUUCAUCCUAACUCCUAUGAGAUUUAUUCAACUCCUGGUGAUUCUACACUACUUUAUGUAUCCAAAUGAAGGUUCUAACAUCGCGAUUCAUCCUGGUUUGAUUAGAAUGACGAAAAAGUUGUCAUAUCCCCAAACAGGGAAACUGGGAUCACCUUAUUUGAAAGGGAGAUAACUUCUUCAUCCUAACUCCUAUGAGAUUUAUUCAACUUCCUGGUGAUUAUCCACUACUUUAUGUAUCCAAAUGAAGGUUCUUACAUCGCGAUACAUCCUGGUUUGAUUAGAGUGACGAAGAAGUUGUCAUAUUCCCAAACAGGGAAACUGGGAUCACCUUAUUUGAAAGUGGGAUAACUUCUUCAUCCUAACUCCUAUGAGAUUUAUUCAACUUCCUGGUGAUUAUCCACUACUUUAUGUAUCCAAAUGAAGGUUCUUACAUCGCGAUACAUCCUGGUUUGAUUAGAGUGACGAAGAAGUUGUCAUAUUCCCAAACAGGGAAACUGGGAUCACCUUAUUUGAAAGGGAGAUAACUUCUUCAUCCUAACUCCUAUGAGAUUUAUUCAACUUCCUGGUGAUUAUCCACUACUUUAUGUAUCCAAAUGAAGGUUCUUACAUCGCGAUACAUCCUGGUUUGAUUAGAGUGACGAAGAAGUUGUCAUAUUCCCAAACAGGGAAACUGGGAUCACCUUAUUUGAAAGUGGGAUAACUUCUUCAUCCUAACUCCUAUGAGAUUUAUUCAACUUCCUGGUGAUUCUCCACUACUUUAUGUAUCCAAAUGAAGGUUCUUACAUCAAGAUUCAUCUUGGUUUAAUUAGAAUAACGAAGAAGUUGUCAUAUUCCCAAAUAGGGAAACUGGCAUCACUUUAUUUGAAAUUGGGAUAACUUCUUCAUCCUAACUCCUAUGAGAUUUAUUCAACUUCCAGGUGAUUCUACACUACUUUAUGUGUCCAAAUGAAGGUUCUUGCAUCAAGAUUCAUCCUGGUUUGAUUAGAAUGAUGAAGAAGUUGUCAUAUUCCCAAACAAGGAAACUGGGAUCAUUUUAUUUGAAAGUGGGAUAACUUCUUCAUCCUAACUCCUAUGAGAUUUAUUCAACUUCCAGGUGAUUCUACACUACUUUAUGUGUCCAAAUGAAGGUUCUUGCAUCAAGAUUCAUCCUGGUUUGAUUAGAAUGAUGAAGAAGUUGUCAUAUUCCCAAACAAGGAAACUGGGAUCAUUUUAUUUGAAAGUGGGAUAACUUCUUCAUCCUAACUCCUAUGAGAUUUAUUCAACUUCCAGGUGAUUCUCCACUACUUAAUGUAUCCAAAUAGAGCUUUGUACAUCUCGAUUCAUCCUGGUUUUAUUAGAAUGAAAAAGAAAUUUUCAUAUUCCAAAUAGGGAAACUGGGAUCACUUGAUUUGAAAGUGGGAUAACUUCUUCAUCCUAACUCCUAUGAGAUUUAUUCAACUUCCUGGUGAUUAUCCACUACUUUAUGUAUCCAAAUGAAGGUUCUAGUUUGAUUAGAAUGACGAAGAAGUUGUCAUAUUCCCAAACAGGAAAACUGGGUUCACCUGAUUUGAAAGUGAAAUAACUUCUUCAUCCUAACUCCUAUGAGAUUUAUUCAACUUCCAGGUGAUACUUCACUGCUAAAUGUAUCCAAAUCUAGCUUUGUACAUCUCGAUUCUUCCUGGUUUGAUUUAGAAUGACAAAGAAAUUGUCAUAUUCCAAACAGGGAAACUGAGAUCACUUGAUUUGAAAGUGGGAUAACUUCUUCAUCCUAACUCCUAUGAUAUUUAUUCAAAUUCCUGGUGAUUCGCUCCAAAUCAAGCUUUGUACAUCGCGAUUCAUACUGGUUUUGAUUAGAAUGACGGAAAAGUUGUCAUAUUCCCAAACAGGAAAACUGGGUUCACCUGAUUUGAAAGUGGAAUAACUUCAUCAUCCUAAAUCCUAUAAUAUUGAUUCAAUUUCCUGGUGAUUCUCCACUACUUUAGGUAUCCAAAGCAAGCUUCUUACAUCGCGAUUUAUCAUGGUUUGAUUAAAAUGACGAAGAAGUUGUCAUAUUCCCAAACAGGGAAACUUGGAUCACCUGAUUGAAAGUGGGAUAACUUCUUCUUCCUAACUCCUAUAAUAUUGAUUCAAUUUCCUGGUGAUUCUCCGCUACUUUAUGAGCUUUUUACAUCGCGAUUUAACCUGGUUUGAUUAGAAUGACGAAGGAGUUGUCAUAUUCCCAAACAGGGAAACUUGGAUCACCUGAUUGAAAGUGGGAUAACUUCUUCUUCCUAACUCCUAUAAUAUUGAUUCAAUUUCCUGGUGAUUCUCCGCUACUUUAUGAGCUUUUUACAUCGCGAUUUAACCUGGUUUGAUUAGAAUGACGAAGGAGUUGUCAUAUUCCCAAACAGGGAAACUUGGAUCACCUGAUUGAAAGUGGGAUAACUUCUUCUUCCUAACUCCUAUAAUAUUGAUUCAAUUUCCUGGUGAUUCUCCGCUACUUUAUGAGCUUUUUACAUCGCGAUUUAACCUGGUUUGAUUAGAAUGACGAAGGAGUUGUCAUAUUCCCAAACAGGGAAACUUGGAUCACCUGAUUGAAAGUGGGAUAACUUCUUCUUCCUAACUCCUAUAAUAUUGAUUCAAUUUCCUGGUGAUUCUCCGCUACUUUAUGAGCUUUUUACAUCGCGAUUUAACCUGGUUUGAUUAGAAUGACGAAGGAGUUGUCAUAUUCCCAAACAGGGAAACUUGGAUCACCUGAUUGAAAGUGGGAUAACUUCUUCUUCCUAACUCCUAUAAUAUUGAUUCAAUUUCCUGGUGAUUCUCCGCUACUUUAUGAGCUUUUUACAUCGCGAUUUAACCUGGUUUGAUUAGAAUGACGAAGGAGUUGUCAUAUUCCCAAACAGGGAAACUUGGAUCACCUGAUUGAAAGUGGGAUAACUUCUUCUUCCUAACUCCUAUAAUAUUGAUUCAAUUUCCUGGUGAUUCUCCGCUACUUUAUGAGCUUUUUACAUCGCGAUUUAACCUGGUUUGAUUAGAAUGACGAAGGAGUUGUCAUAUUCCCAAACAGGGAAACUUGGAUCACCUGAUUGAAAGUGGGAUAACUUCUUCUUCCUAACUCCUAUAAUAUUGAUUCAAUUUCCUGGUGAUUCUCCGCUACUUUAUGAGCUUUUUACAUCGCGAUUUAACCUGGUUUGAUUAGAAUGACGAAGGAGUUGUCAUAUUCCCAAACAGGGAAACUUGGAUCACCUGAUUGAAAGUGGGAUAACUUCUUCUUCCUAACUCCUAUAAUAUUGAUUCAAUUUCCUGGUGAUUCUCCGCUACUUUAUGAGCUUUUUACAUCGCGAUUUAACCUGGUUUGAUUAGAAUGACGAAGGAGUUGUCAUAUUCCCAAACAGGGAAACUUGGAUCACCUGAUUGAAAGUGGGAUAACUUCUUCUUCCUAACUCCUAUAAUAUUGAUUCAAUUUCCUGGUGAUUCUCCGCUACUUUAUGAGCUUUUUACAUCGCGAUUUAACCUGGUUUGAUUAGAAUGACGAAGGAGUUGUCAUAUUCCCAAACAGGGAAACUUGGAUCACCUGAUUGAAAGUGGGAUAACUUCUUCUUCCUAACUCCUAUAAUAUUGAUUCAAUUUCCUGGUGAUUCUCCGCUACUUUAUGAGCUUUUUACAUCGCGAUUUAACCUGGUUUGAUUAGAAUGACGAAGGAGUUGUCAUAUUCCCAAACAGGGAAACUUGGAUCACCUGAUUGAAAGUGGGAUAACUUCUUCAUCCUAACUCCUAUGACAUUUAUUCAACUUCCUGGUGAUUCUC
Molecule: long non-coding RNA, 4449 nt
Filed under: Brassica napus (rape)
Lineage: Eukaryota; Viridiplantae; Streptophyta; Magnoliopsida; Brassicales; Brassicaceae
Description: long non-coding RNA (BNAP_LNC021257)
Source: RNAcentral